RNAcentral lists this unclassified non-coding RNA (160 nucleotides) under uncultured fungus. Its description in RNAcentral is "sequence contains ITS1, 5.8S rRNA gene". Lineage: Eukaryota; Fungi. The record is from RNAcentral.
CAGGGCAUUAAAAAACCCCUAAACCCACCUGUGAAUUUACCGCUAUGUUGUUCUUUUGGCAGGCGGCCCCUGGGAGGGGCCUCUAGCUUUUACAGGCGCCUGCCGAAGAAACUCAAAACUCUUGCUGUUUAGGCUGUCUGAGCUAUCAUUUAAUGAGUCA